AGAAGAUAUGGCUCAGAUUGCAUUUAAAAUUUCUUCGUACAAAAGUAUUGUCAAAAAAGAAAUAACGUCUAAGCUGCAACAACAUAAUAGAAUCUUAAAUGAACUUACAAUGGGUAUUGAUGCCACUGACUGCCAGGUCACAGCUGUUAUUACUGAUAUAAGAGAAGACGAAAAAAUGAUCAAACAAACGAUUGAUGAAAUGGUCAAUAAAAUGAUUGAAGACGUAACUGAAAAAACUAGGUUCGAAAAAGAUAAGCUGUCGAAUAUCGUCGAAGCUACAAAAUCAAGAAUACAGAUUCUGACUGCCUUAGAAGAAGAAAGGAAAGAUUUAAAAAUGGAAAGACAAAAUGUGGACUUGUUUAACGACGUGAAAAGUUUGCAAGAGGACAUUUCUGAGAUAGAAAUUGGAGAUCUUCCACCAUUGCCGUCGAUAGAUUACAAACAUGUAAUGCAUGAAAUAAAUUUGGACGGUCAUUUUGGAACUUAUAGUUUCAGGCUUCCUCAAGGAAAUACAUUUGAAGAAUACGAUUUGAUGUUAACACAUGACGGAAGUAUAUCAUAUGUCGGUAGAAAUACCAAAAAAGUUAUAUGUAGUCAACCUUUACCCGACGGAGUAGAGAUGAUCCGAAACAAACAUGGCAGACCAUUUUUUAUAGAUCAUAACGCAGAGGUUACAAGAUUGGGUAUUGAGUUGCAAAAAGGAUGGGAAAUGAUGUUUACGCCUGAGGGAAAACCAUACUAUGUAAAUCACAAAACUAAGAAGACAACAUGGACAUACCCACGACAACAAAUCGAAAAUUAAACCUAUUUAUGUUUCUUAAACUAAGAUGCACGUUUCUAAUAUACUUGCGUGCGUAUUCAUCUCAAUGAGACCGACACUCUGUGUGUAUAUAUUUUUUGGUUUAUUGUUUGUGUCUUUUGAAGGGAACUGAAUAAAUGUCGCAUGUAAGCAUCAGUUCACUCAGGAGUGGGUUUUUUCAGUUUUGUUUUUUUUUAUUUUCUUCAUGCAAGGUAUAUAGUUGAUGUAUUUUGUACAUCUGUAGUUGAUAUAUGACUCUGCGAUCCUAAUUCAUAGAGAAGAAAUCUAACAUUCUUGUCCAAAAAUGAAUGUACAAUUAUGAACGAAGUCCUUUAUGAUCGACUUUUAUCUUUCAUUCAUUAUCAAGAGAUGUGUUAUUUGAUUUUUCUUUCUUACUUAAUAAAAAAUAUUUUACAAGGA
Long non-coding RNA from Mytilus californianus (California mussel), 1219 nucleotides. RefSeq lists it as uncharacterized. NCBI's taxonomy places the organism in Eukaryota, Metazoa, Mollusca, Bivalvia, Mytilida, Mytilidae. The transcript is spliced from 2 exons. The record is from RefSeq and is a predicted model, not a curated record.